UAGUCUGAUUAGUGUGUGUCUUAAAAUUAAGAUUCGUGAGGAAAGUCCGAGCUUCAUAGGGCGAAAUGCCGGGUAACGCCCGGCGGAGGCGACUCCAGGGAUAGUGCAACAGAAAUAAACCACCGGUUUUCCGGUAAGGGUGGAAAGGCGAGGUAAAAGCUCACCGCUUGAUUGGCAACAAUCAAGGCUCUGUAAACCCCAUUUGAAGCAAGAUCAAAUAAAAGCCGGGGCUGCCCGUCCCUUUGCUUUUGGUAAGAUCGCAUGAGCGCGUUCGGCGACGAACCGCCAAGAUAGAUGGCUGCCUUUAACAGAACUCGGCUUAUAGACUCGGUCAAAAUC
RNAcentral lists this RNase P RNA (339 nucleotides) under Clostridiales bacterium. RNAcentral describes it as "RNase P RNA component class A". It matches the Rfam family "Bacterial RNase P class A". Rfam says of the family: Ribonuclease P (RNase P) is a ubiquitous endoribonuclease, found in archaea, bacteria and eukarya as well as chloroplasts and mitochondria. The record is from RNAcentral. Lineage: Bacteria; Bacillati; Bacillota; Clostridia; Eubacteriales.